Molecule: ribosomal RNA, 808 nt
Filed under: Escherichia coli
Lineage: Bacteria; Pseudomonadati; Pseudomonadota; Gammaproteobacteria; Enterobacterales; Enterobacteriaceae
Description: partial 23S ribosomal RNA
Rfam family: Bacterial large subunit ribosomal RNA
Source: RNAcentral
ACAAAAAUGCACAUAUUGUGAGCUCGAUGAGUAGGGCGGGACACGUGGUAUCCUGUCUGAAUAUGGGGGGACCAUCCUCCAAGGCUAAAUACUCCUGACUGACCGAUAGUGAACCAGUACCGUGAGGGAAAGGCGAAAAGAACCCCGGCGAGGGGAGUGAAAAAGAACCUGAAACCGUGUACGUACAAGCAGUGGGAGCACGCUUAGGCGUGUGACUGCGUACCUUUUGUAUAAUGGGUCAGCGACUUAUAUUCUGUAGCAAGGUUAACCGAAUAGGGGAGCCGAAGGGAAACCGAGUCUUAACUGGGCGUUAAGUUGCAGGGUAUAGACCCGAAACCCGGUGAUCUAGCCAUGGGCAGGUUGAAGGUUGGGUAACACUAACUGGAGGACCGAACCGACUAAUGUUGAAAAAUUAGCGGAUGACUUGUGGCUGGGGGUGAAAGGCCAAUCAAACCGGGAGAUAGCUGGUUCUCCCCGAAAGCUAUUUAGGUAGCGCCUCGUGAAUUCAUCUCCGGGGGUAGAGCACUGUUUCGGCAAGGGGGUCAUCCCGACUUACCAACCCGAUGCAAACUGCGAAUACCGGAGAAUGUUAUCACGGGAGACACACGGCGGGUGCUAACGUCCGUCGUGAAGAGGGAAACAACCCAGACCGCCAGCUAAGGUCCCAAAGUCAUGGUUAAGUGGGAAACGAUGUGGGAAGGCCCAGACAGCCAGGAUGUUGGCUUAGAAGCAGCCAUCAUUUAAAGAAAGCGUAAUAGCUCACUGGUCGAGUCGGCCUGCGCGGAAGAUGUAACGGGGCUAAACCAUG